Molecule: ribosomal RNA, 800 nt
Filed under: uncultured bacterium
Lineage: Bacteria
Description: bacterial SSU rRNA
Rfam family: Bacterial small subunit ribosomal RNA
Source: RNAcentral
UUAGAGUUUGAUCCUGGCUCAGAUUGAACGCUGGCGGCAGGCCUAACACAUGCAAGUCGAGCGGAUGAAGGGAGCUUGCUCCCUGAUUUAGCGGCGGACGGGUGAGUAAUGCCUAGGAAUCUGCCUGGUAGUGGGGGAUAACGUUCCGAAAGGAACGCUAAUACCGCAUACGUCCUGCGGGAGAAAGCAGGGGACCUUCGGGCCUUGCGCUAUCAGAUGAGCCUAGGUCGGAUUAGCUAGUUGGUGAGGUAAUGGCUCACCAAGGCGACGAUCCGUAACUGGUCUGAGAGGAUGAUCAGUCACACUGGAACUGAGACACGGUCCAGACUCCUACGGGAGGCAGCAGUGGGGAAUAUUGGACAAUGGGCGAAAGCCUGAUCCAGCCAUGCCGCGUGUGUGAAGAAGGUCUUCGGAUUGUAAAGCACUUUAGGUUGGGAGGAAGGGCAGUAAGCUAAUACCUUGCUGUUUUGACGUUACCGACAGAAUAAGCACCGGCUAACUUCGUGCCAGCAGCCGCGGUAAUACGAAGGGUGCAAGCGUUAAUCGGAAUUACUGGGCGUAAAGCGCGCGUAGGUGGUUCGUUAAGUUGGAUGUGAAAGCCCCGGGCUCAACCUGGGAACUGCAUCCAAAACUGGCGAGCUAGAGUACGGUAGAGGGUGGUGGAAUUUCCUGUGUAGCGGUGAAAUGCGUAGAUAUAGGAAGGAACACCAGUGGCGAAGGCGACCACCUGGACUGAUACUGACACUGAGGUGCGAAAGCGUGGGGAGCAAACAGGAUUAGAUCCCCUGGUAGUCCACGCC